This is a non-coding RNA of Papiliotrema laurentii, 99 nucleotides long. The record is from the annotation of a GenBank genome assembly. NCBI's taxonomy places the organism in Eukaryota, Fungi, Basidiomycota, Tremellomycetes, Tremellales, Rhynchogastremaceae.
GAUUCCUUGGUUUAGUGGUAUAAUGCUACCUUAGGGUGUUUAACAACUCUUGAGGUCGCCAUCUGGUAGAGGUCCCGCGUUCGAUUCGCGGAGGAGUCC